RNAcentral lists this long non-coding RNA (212 nucleotides) under Bos taurus (domestic cattle). RNAcentral describes it as "long non-coding RNA NONBTAT023517". The record is from RNAcentral. Lineage: Eukaryota; Metazoa; Chordata; Mammalia; Artiodactyla; Bovidae.
AAAUGCACAGCAGACUUCGUGUGCCCCGUAUAAAUGGAGUAUUUUAGAGUGCUAUAUACAGGGUGGAAGGAAUGCUCCGUGAAAUUAGAAUACACAUUGCCUGUUCUUGCAAUUCAAUAAUUCCAUCACAUUUUCUUUCCUUGGCCCCUGUUGCUUCAAUAAUACAAGAUUGGAUUGAAUCAAUGGCUAUUACACUUUAGCACGUUUAGCAA